UUUCCAGAGAUGGACUGGUGCCUUCGGGAACUGUGAGACAGGUGCUGCAUGGCUGUCGUCAGCUCGUGUUGUGAAAUGUUGGGUUAAGUCCCGCAACGAGCGCAACCCUUAUCCUUUGUUGCCAGCGGUCCGGCCGGGAACUCAAAGGAGACUGCCAGUGAUAAACUGGAGGAAGGUGGGGAUGACGUCAAGUCAUCAUGGCCCUUACGACCAGGGCUACACACGUGCUACAAUGGCGCAUACAAAGAGAAGCGACCUCGC
Molecule: ribosomal RNA, 261 nt
Filed under: Salmonella enterica subsp. enterica serovar Agona
Lineage: Bacteria; Pseudomonadati; Pseudomonadota; Gammaproteobacteria; Enterobacterales; Enterobacteriaceae
Also listed under: 3 other names
Description: partial 16S ribosomal RNA
Rfam family: Bacterial small subunit ribosomal RNA
Source: RNAcentral